UUCGGGAUGCCGGCGAGUGGCGAACGGGUGAGUAAUACGUGGAAACCUAUCCCGAGGUGGGGGAUAACAGCUGGAAACGGCUGCUAAUACCGCAUAAGCCCUAAGGGGGAAAGAUUUAUCGCCUUGGGAGGGGUCCACGUCGGAUUAGCUAGUUGGUAGGGUAAAGGCCUACCAAGGCGACGAUCCGUAGCUGGUCUGAGAGGAUGGACAGCCACACUGGGACUGAGACACGGCCCAGACUCCUACGGGAGGCAGCAGUGGGGAAUAUUGCGCAAUGGGGGAAACCCUGACGCAGCGAUGCCGCGUGGGUGAAGAAGGCCUUCGGGUUGUAAAGCCCUUUCAGUGGGAAAGAUAGUGACGGUACCCACAGAAGAAGCUCCGGCUAACUCCGUGCCAGCAGCCGCGGUAAUACGGAGGGGGCGAGCGUUGUUCGGAAUUACUGGGCGUAAAGGGCGCGUAGGCGGUGCAGCAAG
RNAcentral lists this ribosomal RNA (473 nucleotides) under uncultured Magnetococcus sp. RNAcentral's name for it is "bacterial SSU rRNA". It matches the Rfam family "Bacterial small subunit ribosomal RNA", at positions 79 to 587 of the family's 1533-position model. Lineage: Bacteria; Pseudomonadati; Pseudomonadota; Magnetococcia; Magnetococcales; Magnetococcaceae. The record is from RNAcentral.